Molecule: ribosomal RNA, 412 nt
Filed under: uncultured bacterium
Lineage: Bacteria
Description: bacterial SSU rRNA
Rfam family: Bacterial small subunit ribosomal RNA
Source: RNAcentral
GAGUUUGAUCGUGGCUCAGGACGAACGCUGGCGGCGUGCUUAACACAUGCAAGUCGAACGGGAAACAUUUUAUUGAAGCUUCGGCAGAUUUAGCUUGUUUCUAGUGGCGGACGGGUGAGUAACGCGUGGGUAACCUGCCCCACACAGGGGGAUAACAACCAGAAAUGGCUGCUAAUACCGCAUAGGCGCACGGGGCCGCAUGGCCUAGUGUGAAAAACUCCGGUGGUGUGGGAUGGGCCCGCGUUGGAUUAGCCAGUUGGCAGGGUAACGGCCUACCAAAGCGACGAUCCAUAGCCGGCCUGAGAGGUGGACGGCCACAUUGGGACUGAGACACGGCCCAGACUCCUACGGGAGCAGCAGUGGGAAUAUUGCACAAUGGGGGAAACCCUGAUGCAGCGACGCCGCGUGAAGG